GUCCUCUCGUUUAUUAUGGGAGGUCGGACCUGCCCGGUGAAAUAUUUUAACGGCCGCGGUAUUUUGACCGUGCAAAGGUAGCAUAAUCAUUAGUCUUUUAAUAGGGGGCUGGAAUGAAGGGUUUGACGAAAUAAUAACUGUCUCAUUAAAAAUAGUUGAAUUUAAUUUUUAAGUUAAAAGGCUUAAAUUUUGUUGGAAGACGAGAAGACCCUAUAGAGCUUUAUUUGUGUUUAUUUAAUUUUUAUUGUCUAUUUUCUUGUUUUAUAAUCAUGUAAUUUUGUUGGGGCGACAGGGAAAUAUAUAAAACUUUCAUUAUUUGUGUUACAUUUAUUUAUGAUUAUAUGAUCCAUUAUUAUUGAUUAUUAGAAUAAGUUACCUUAGGGAUAACAGCGUAAUCUUCUUUGGGAGUUCAAAUUUACAAGAAGGCUUGCGACCUCGAUGUUGGAUUAAGAUAAUAAUUAGGUGCAGUAGCUUAAUUAAUAGGUCUGUUCGACCUUUAAAUUCUUACAUGAUCUGAGUUCAGACCGG
Molecule: ribosomal RNA, 528 nt
Filed under: Nesolestes sp. RMNH INS 228878
Lineage: Eukaryota; Metazoa; Arthropoda; Insecta; Odonata; Argiolestidae
Description: partial 16S ribosomal RNA
Rfam family: Bacterial large subunit ribosomal RNA
Source: RNAcentral